This 232-nucleotide long non-coding RNA is filed under the name Elaeis guineensis (African oil palm). Its description in RNAcentral is "long non-coding RNA (EGUI_LNC029854)". The record is from RNAcentral. Lineage: Eukaryota; Viridiplantae; Streptophyta; Magnoliopsida; Arecales; Arecaceae.
CCUACCAAAAGAGGGCUCACAAAUCCGUCCUAUCAUAAAGCGACUUUAUUCUCAUCCACCCCUUCCCUUAAAUCGGCACUCAUCUCCUCCUUCGUUGGACUGGCGCUCAUCUCCAACUCCAUCGGCCCGCUAUAGAGCUGUCCUACUAUAAAGCAACUUCCUCUCCUCCGUUGGAUCGACGCUCAUCUCCAAAUGGGCAAACGGAGGUUUCAUUUUGAUGUGUGCAUGUACG